AAAUGGAUUAACAAUAUUAUAAUAAUAAUUAAUAUUAUUUUAAAUGGAUUAACAAAUAUGCUUUAAGUGUCUCCAUUUUAGCUUUAUUCAUGCCUGCAUCUCCUGUACCUAGAACAGUGCCUAGCACAUGCAGAUGGUCAAUAACAAUUGAAAGAAUGACUUGAGUUGAAAAACAAUAAAAGAUGAGGAAACAAGCAAGAGAAGAUGCCAAGACCACACGGCUGGAAGUGACGGUGUGGAGUGGAACCUAGGUCUAGCAGGCACUAAGAUCCAGCCUUGACCAUGACCUGACACUGCUCUUCAUGACUUCAUUGUACUUACUUGGCAGAGAAGGAGAAGCAAUGAACACUUUGGAUCCUAACAGCCUAUGAGCUUUCACCACACCUGUUUUGCCGCUGCCAUCCUCCGGACUUCC
Non-coding RNA from Microcebus murinus (gray mouse lemur), 415 nucleotides. NCBI's taxonomy places the organism in Eukaryota, Metazoa, Chordata, Mammalia, Primates, Cheirogaleidae. The record is from RefSeq and is a predicted model, not a curated record.